AAAUUUAAGGUAUUAACUUAAUACCUGAAGAUUGUCUCUUUGAAUGAUGAUUUAUUAAUCUGUUUACUUACAGGUUGUAAGUGAGAGGAACAAAAGAAAUAGAGAAAAACAAAUAACUAAGCAUACUUGUGGUACAAAGUCUUUUGCAGAAGUAGAGGAAUCUACGAGAAAUCCUAUUACUGGAGAAUUGGACACACCAGAUAAAGUUUGGGAGAUCCAACAUACAUGCAAGGAUGAUACAUGCGAACUGGUGUGGUUGGAUUCACAAUCCCAACAAAUUCAUGGUCAACUCCAGGAAGUUGUCGCUCAGCAACAAUCUGAGGAGAUCGAGCAUCCCAUGACUAGAGAUGAGAUUUUAUCCUCCGUUGUUGGUGAGAGAACAGGCUAUGUUCAUGGAAAAGGAUACGGAAAGAAGCCUCCUAAAAAGAGUAACAUUCAGCAGGCAAACAUAGAGGCCAGCGUGUCUUCUGCUAUUGAUAUUGUGCGUUAAGAGAUGCAAGCCGAGAUGGAUAGGAAGUUGCAAGAAGAACGUGAACAAAUGGCUGCUGAGUUGCGAAGAAAUAUGGAAAUUGAGUUGGAAAGGAAGCUGGCAGAGGAGCGUCAACAC
This is a non-coding RNA of Nicotiana tabacum (common tobacco), 607 nucleotides long. The record is from RefSeq and is a predicted model, not a curated record. Lineage: Eukaryota; Viridiplantae; Streptophyta; Magnoliopsida; Solanales; Solanaceae.